CAGUAGCCGCGGUAAUACGUAGGGUGCUAGCGUUGUUCGGAAUUACUGGGCGUAAAGCGCACGUAGGCGGCUUUGUAAGUCAGAGGUGAAAGCCUGGAGCUCAACUCCAGAACUGCCUUUGAGACUGCAUCGCUUGAAUCCAGGAGAGGUGAGUGGAAUUCCGAGUGUAGAGGUGAAAUUCGUAGAUAUUCGGAAGAACACCAGUGGCGAAGGCGGCUCACUGGACUGGUAUUGACGCUGAGGUGCGAAAGCGUGGGGAGCAAACAGGAUUAGAUACCCCUGUAGUCCCUGUCUCUUAUAC
RNAcentral lists this ribosomal RNA (301 nucleotides) under uncultured bacterium. RNAcentral's name for it is "partial 16S ribosomal RNA". It matches the Rfam family "Bacterial small subunit ribosomal RNA", at positions 509 to 807 of the family's 1533-position model. The record is from RNAcentral.